AUAAACGCUGGCGGCGUGCCUUAUGCAUGCAAGUCGAACGAUAAGCCACCUUCGGGUGGUGGACAGUGGCAGACGGGUGAGUAACGCGUGGGAACGUGCCUUUCGGUUCGGAAUAACCCAGGGAAACUUGGGCUAAUACCGGAUACGCCCUUCGGGGGAAAGAUUCAUUGCCGAAAGAUCGGCCCGCGUCGGAUUAGCUAGUUGGUGGGGUAAUGGCUCACCAAGGCGACGAUCCGUAGCUGGUCUGAGAGGAUGACCAGCCACACUGGGACUGCGACACGGCCCAGACUCCUACGGGAGGCAGCAGUGGGGAAUAUUGGACAAUGGGCGCAAGCCUGAUCCAGCCAUGCCGCGUGGGUGAAGAAGGCCUUAGGGUUGUAAACCCCUUUCAGCGGGGAAGAUAAUGACGGUACCCGCAGAAGAAGUCCCGGCUAACUCCGU
Molecule: ribosomal RNA, 441 nt
Filed under: uncultured bacterium
Lineage: Bacteria
Description: bacterial SSU rRNA
Rfam family: Bacterial small subunit ribosomal RNA
Source: RNAcentral